Molecule: long non-coding RNA, 557 nt
Filed under: Capsicum annuum
Lineage: Eukaryota; Viridiplantae; Streptophyta; Magnoliopsida; Solanales; Solanaceae
Description: long non-coding RNA (CANN_LNC003511)
Source: RNAcentral
UAAAUUUUGAAACCAAUGAAAGACCUCAAAUACCCAAACUCCACUAGUACGGGAAUUAGAAAGAUGAGCAGAAUUCAAAAUCCAAUUGAAUGACGUCGAUGAGAAUCUCAAUACCCACGAUUUCUAACCCACCAUAGAUGAAUCCCACUAGAGACCGGAUCUAGGUUGUGGUCGUUUUAGUGUUACCUAAAAUGAGAUGGAGAUGAUGGACUCCGACCAUCUCAGAAGGAAUAGAGAAAAGGAAAAUCAGAUCAAAUUUGGAGCAUCAAUGAUGUUUUUUUGGCGAUGAAUCGCCGAAACAGUCAACAACCUCCAGUUUUCCUUCUCUCUCUCUCUCCUUAUUUUCACUCUCUUUUUCUCCGAUCUAUCUCGCCCUUCACUCCCAUUUGUUUUCUCGAAUCUAUUUUCUCUCUCGAUUCCUCCUAAUUCUAUGCGUGUGUGUAGUUUCGAUCAGUAUGUGUAAUAGAAAUUAUGUGUGUGAUGAGUGUGUGCGUGAUAUCGUGUGUGUAUAGUCUAAUGUUAGGUAUGUUAAUGGCUUUUCAGUGAGUGAAUGUGGG